This 253-nucleotide ribosomal RNA is filed under the name uncultured bacterium. Its description in RNAcentral is "partial 16S ribosomal RNA". It matches the Rfam family "Bacterial small subunit ribosomal RNA", at positions 524 to 776 of the family's 1533-position model. The record is from RNAcentral.
UACGUAGGGUGCGAGCGUUGUCCGGAAUUACUGGGCGUAAAGAGCUCGUAGGUGGUUUGUCGCGUUGUCCGUGAAAACUCACAACUCAAUUGUGGGCGUGCGGGCGAUACGGGCAGACUGGAGUACUGCAGGGGAGACUGGAAUUCCUGGUGUAGCGGUGGAAUGCGCAGAUAUCAGGAGGAACACCAAUAGCGAAGGCAGCUCGCUGGGACGUUACUGACACUGAGGCGCGAAAGCGUGGGGAGCGAACAGG